This 478-nucleotide ribosomal RNA is filed under the name uncultured bacterium. RNAcentral describes it as "bacterial SSU rRNA". It matches the Rfam family "Bacterial small subunit ribosomal RNA", at positions 28 to 526 of the family's 1533-position model. The record is from RNAcentral.
GACGAACGCUGGCGGCGUGCUUAACACAUGCAAGUCGAGCGCUGAAGCCUUCGGGUGGAUGAGCGGCGAACGGGUGAGUAACACGUGGGUGACCUGCCCUCAGCUCUGGGAUAAGCCUGGGAAACUGGGUCUAAUACCGGAUAUGACCUUCGGCCGCAUGGUUGUUGGUGGAAAGUUUUUCGGCUGAGGAUGGGCCCGCGGCCUAUCAGCUUGUUGGUGGGGUGAUGGCCUACCAAGGCGACGACGGGUAGCCGGCCUGAGAGGGCGACCGGCCACACUGGGACUGAGACACGGCCCAGACUCCUACGGGAGGCAGCAGUGGGGAAUAUUGCGCAAUGGGCGAAAGCCUGACGCAGCGACGCCGCGUGGGGGAUGACGGCCUUCGGGUUGUAAACCUCUUUCGCCAGGGACGAAGCUAACGUGACGGUACCUGGAUAAGAAGCACCGGCCAACUACGUGCCAGCAGCCGCCGUAACAC